UAGAACACCGAUUCGCGUACGAUCAUCGAAGUUAAGCAACGUCGAUCCCGGUCAGUACCUAAAUCGGUGACCUCUUGAGAAUAUCAGAUGUUGUGA
Non-coding RNA from Acanthosepion pharaonis, 96 nucleotides. NCBI's taxonomy places the organism in Eukaryota, Metazoa, Mollusca, Cephalopoda, Sepiida, Sepiidae. The record is from the annotation of a GenBank genome assembly.